RNAcentral lists this small RNA (155 nucleotides) under Roseibaca calidilacus. RNAcentral's name for it is "6S RNA". Lineage: Bacteria; Pseudomonadati; Pseudomonadota; Alphaproteobacteria; Rhodobacterales; Paracoccaceae. The record is from RNAcentral.
CAGGUUCUGCUCUUCGCGUGCGUGGCCCUUUUCCAGUGGCCUAUACGCAUGUCCGAGGGGGCUGGCUCUGGCACGGUCCUGGCCGUGUUAUCUGGCGCCCACCUGAACUUCAGGUUCUCGGAAAUUCACGCCGCCACGGUCGCUGCGGGCCUGCC